CAGGGGUAACGUAGACUCUACGUCUCCCUCGUCUCUCGCCGUCACGACAACGUCACACACGGGCGUCACGUGCUAUCCGCGCGUGACUCUGCCAGCACGUUACGACAUAAUAUUCCUUGACAGCGACUCCUCGCCGACCGGCGCGGAAAAUCGUGGCAAAAAAAUUCUCCAACGUAUCUUUCGUCCAACUUUUCGUCGAAAAUAAGUUACCAAGUUCAAUAGCGUCAAGAUCCUUCAGGAUUAAUGCGCGUAUAGAACGAUGUUCUUCGCCUGCGUAAGUCCGACGUAAUAAUCGUGACCUACUCCACAGUGUUAAAUAUUGGACACGCUUUCCUCGAACACCGAUAUAGCUAUCGGGGGCGAUGCGAGAUAGUCGAGAGUGUCCUCGGUGAUUUGACCGGUGAAUCGUUGGGAAGUUGGUGAUUACCGGGUACGGAGAGAACCGCACGCGUACGUAGUCGAUAAUCGUGCGGAAAUGAACGUGCCGGGAUCAAAUUUCGGGGUAAAUCGGUAGCGGAAUGUUCACCCAGACGCGAUCGCGGAAUCACGGAUCUCGCUCUCGGGGACCCCUCCUCGGGAUACAGGGGCACGAGCAACCGACUACGGGGAUUAUUCAUCGGAAAGUUUGAUGCUUAUACGUGCGAACUGAAACUUGUCUCGCACUCAUCCUCGUCGUCGUCGUCGUUGUCGUUCGAUUAUCAUCGCCGACGACGGCGGUUAUCUUAGGAUAGCGAGAUUUCGUCGAGAAUGCUUUAUGGUCGAAACCGGUGUACUUCGUCACUCUCUCUCUUUCUCUCUCCCUCCCUUCUUUCCCGCCGUCGCGAAACUUUCCUGGACUUUUCCGUGAGCGUGAGAGUUUGCACGGGAACUGGAGAAAUCAUUAGAGCGUUAUCAUCGCCGGUCGAUGUCGGCCAAACUUCGUCCGGCUGUCGAUAAUUUAUAGGAAUCGUCCGAUCGUAGUUUCGUAUCUCGUGUUCAGUCGCGCCUUUAAUAACUACAUCACACGUAAUGAUUGAUCGUUCCCAGUUUCCGAGCGUGUUCUCGUAUGUAACAUAACAGGAGUUAUAGUGACCUGCAGAAAUGAACAUUCCUUCGAUUAUCGCUCUGUUAUCGGGCCGUUCAACGUAUUACUGGACAGAUUGGGCUUGUCCUGGCGCGGACUCAGGUGCAUUUUGUCCCGGCGCGAUCGAAAUUUCUCGUCGGAUGUGACUCGAGGUGUCGCGAAUUAAUCCCGCGUAGAGUUAAACUCGCGCUUUUCACGCGGUCCAGCAGUGCGUUUCCCGUGACUCUUGACUUCGUGCACGAGCGAGUGUGGGCACAUGCAAUACGAGGGUGGCCCUCAUCUGUUGACGCGUUCGCGAGGGUGAAUCGGCGCGGAGCGUGUUUCGGACAAUACAGAUUAUUCCGGGCACGAGGACCGGAUGCUGCGAACGGUCGACGUGGAUUUACACACCACACUCAGCUGGAGGGAGGAUUCUGACCGUUGACUUUUGGUUUUUGGAUCGGAUUGCGGCGUAUUAAAACUGUUCCUACACAAUUCCUAAGAUCGGAGCCUGCCUUUCAACGUGCAAAGCCGUCCUCUCGGUGCGUCGACGGGGCGGCGGAGGUCGGCCGUCUCCCAACUUUCUUAUUCAAGAUGUUUUGAGAGCAAUUUAACUUGGACUCCGGUCGAAGGGGUGCCGGAGCCGGUGGGUGCAGAGAGUUAAAAGCGGGAAUAAAACGCGCGGAAGGAGAGUGACUGCGCUGAUGCGGGAAUACGGAGGAGCGGCCUGCGGGACGUGGUCGCGCCGGGCGAAUUAGAGAGACCUCCCGGAAA
Long non-coding RNA from Wasmannia auropunctata (little fire ant), 1816 nucleotides. RefSeq lists it as uncharacterized. NCBI's taxonomy places the organism in Eukaryota, Metazoa, Arthropoda, Insecta, Hymenoptera, Formicidae. The transcript has 3 exons. The record is from RefSeq and is a predicted model, not a curated record.